CCAAUAGCGUAUAUUAAAGUUGUUGCAGUUAAAAAGCUCGUAGUUGAAUUUCGGGAUUGACGUGAUGGUCAUGCCUUAAGGGGUAUGAACUGUUGCAGUUGAUUUCUCACCUUCUGGAGAAACUUGAUGUCCUUUAUUGGGUGUCUUGCGGAUCCAGGACCUUUACCUUGAAAAAAUUAGAGUGUUUAAAGCAGGCAUUUUUGCUCGAAUACAUUAGCAU
RNAcentral lists this ribosomal RNA (220 nucleotides) under uncultured Entrophospora. Its description in RNAcentral is "uncultured Claroideoglomus partial small subunit ribosomal RNA". It matches the Rfam family "Eukaryotic small subunit ribosomal RNA", at positions 591 to 810 of the family's 1831-position model. Lineage: Eukaryota; Fungi; Glomeromycota; Glomeromycetes; Entrophosporales; Entrophosporaceae. The record is from RNAcentral.